CCCCUAGAUGUUCUGGGCCGCACGCGCGCUACACUGAACAGUUCAACAAGUCUUAACCUUGGCCGAUAGGUCUGGGUAAUCUUUGAACGCUGUUCGUGAUUGGGAUAGACCUUUGCAAUUAUGGGUCUUCAACGAGGAAUUCCUAGUAAACGCAAGUCAUCAGCUUGCAUUGAUUACGUCCCUGCCCUUUGUACACACCGCCUGUCGCACCUACCGAUUGAAUGGUCCGGUGAAAUCUCGGGACGGCGGCUUGGUCGCUUGCGUCCGACUGCUGAAACUUGAUUAAACCAUAUCAUUUAGAGGAAGGUGAAGUCGUANCA
This 320-nucleotide ribosomal RNA is filed under the name uncultured eukaryote. Its description in RNAcentral is "partial 18S ribosomal RNA". It matches the Rfam family "Eukaryotic small subunit ribosomal RNA", at positions 1470 to 1796 of the family's 1831-position model. The record is from RNAcentral.